Molecule: ribosomal RNA, 628 nt
Filed under: uncultured fungus
Lineage: Eukaryota; Fungi
Description: eukaryotic LSU rRNA
Rfam family: 5.8S ribosomal RNA (bases 273-426)
Source: RNAcentral
GAAGUAAAAGUCGUAACAAGGUUUCCGUAGGUGAACCUGCGGAAGGAUCAUUAAUGAAUUCUGAAAGGGGUUGUAGCUGGCCGUUUCGUUUGAGCGGCAUGUGCACGCCCUGAUCAUUAUCCAUCUCACACACCUGUGCACAUACUGUAGGUCGGCUUUUGAUUGGAGUGGGGUCUUCAUCGACUCUGCUUUUUAGUUGGGGCCUUCCUAUGUUUUAUCACACACUACUUCAGUUAAAAGAAUGUCCUCUUGCGUCUAACGCAUUUAAAUACAACUUUCAGCAACGGAUCUCUUGGCUCUCGCAUCGAUGAAGAACGCAGCGAAAUGCGAUAAGUAAUGUGAAUUGCAGAAUUCAGUGAAUCAUCGAAUCUUUGAACGCACCUUGCGCUCCUUGGUAUUCCGAGGAGCAUGCCUGUUUGAGUGUCAUGGAAUUCUCAACUCUAUUUGCUUUUGUGAAUAGAGCUUGGACUUGGAGGUUUAUUGCCGGUACCUGUGAUCGGCUCCUCUUGAAUGCAUUAGCUCGAACCUUUUGUGGAUCAGCUUAUCGGUGUGAUAAAAUGUCUACGCCGUUACUGUGAAGCAUAUUAUUCGGCUUCCAAUCGUCCUUCACGGGACAAUAACUUUGACC